RNAcentral lists this ribosomal RNA (460 nucleotides) under uncultured bacterium. Its description in RNAcentral is "partial 16S ribosomal RNA". It matches the Rfam family "Bacterial small subunit ribosomal RNA", at positions 338 to 795 of the family's 1533-position model. The record is from RNAcentral.
CCUACGGGAGGCAGCAGUGAGGAAUAUUGGUCAAUGGACGAGAGCCUGAACCAGCCAAGUAGCGUGAAGGAUGACUGCCCUAUGGGUUGUAAACUUCUUUUAUAUGGGAAUAAAGUGUUCCACGUGUGGGUUUUUGUAUGUACCUUAUGAAUAAGGAUCGGCUAACUCCGUGCCAGCAGCCGCGGUAAUACGGAGGAUCCGAGCGUUAUCCGGAUUUAUUGGGUUUAAAGGGAGCGUAGGUGGGUUGUUAAGUCAGUUGUGAAAGUUUGCGGCUCAACCGUAAAAUUGCAGUUGAAACUGGCAGCUUUGAGUACAGUAGAGGUAGGCGGAAUUCGUGGUGUAGCGGUGAAAUGCUUAGAUAUCACGAAGAACUCCGAUUGCGAAGGCAGCUCACUAGACUGCAACUGACACUGAUGCUCGAAAGUGUGGGUAUCAAACAGGAUUAGAUACCCUUGUAGUC